GGUGGCUCAGUGGUAGAGUGCUUGCCUUGCAUGCAUGAGGCCCUGGGUUCAAUUCCUAAGCACCA
Molecule: non-coding RNA, 65 nt
Organism: Dipodomys ordii (Ord's kangaroo rat)
Lineage: Eukaryota; Metazoa; Chordata; Mammalia; Rodentia; Heteromyidae
Source: Rfam